Molecule: ribosomal RNA, 875 nt
Filed under: Salmonella enterica subsp. enterica serovar Manhattan
Lineage: Bacteria; Pseudomonadati; Pseudomonadota; Gammaproteobacteria; Enterobacterales; Enterobacteriaceae
Description: bacterial SSU rRNA
Rfam family: Bacterial small subunit ribosomal RNA
Source: RNAcentral
AGAGUUUGAUCAUGGCUCAGAUUGAACGCUGGCGGCAGGCCUAACACAUGCAAGUCGAACGGUAGCACAGAGAGCUUGCUCUCGGGUGACGAGUGGCGGACGGGUGAGUAAUGUCUGGGAAACUGCCUGAUGGAGGGGGAUAACUACUGGAAACGGUGGCUAAUACCGCAUAACGUCGCAAGACCAAAGAGGGGGACCUUCGGGCCUCUUGCCAUCAGAUGUGCCCAGAUGGGAUUAGCUAGUUGGUGAGGUAACGGCUCACCAAGGCGACGAUCCCUAGCUGGUCUGAGAGGAUGACCAGCCACACUGGAACUGAGACACGGUCCAGACUCCUACGGGAGGCAGCAGUGGGGAAUAUUGCACAAUGGGCGCAAGCCUGAUGCAGCCAUGCCGCGUGUAUGAAGAAGGCCUUCGGGUUGUAAAGUACUUUCAGCGGGGAGGAAGGUGUUGUGGUUAAUAACCGCAGCAAUUGACGUUACCCGCAGAAGAAGCACCGGCUAACUCCGUGCCAGCAGCCGCGGUAAUACGGAGGGUGCAAGCGUUAAUCGGAAUUACUGGGCGUAAAGCGCACGCAGGCGGUCUGUCAAGUCGGAUGUGAAAUCCCCGGGCUCAACCUGGGAACUGCAUUCGAAACUGGCAGGCUUGAGUCUUGUAGAGGGGGGUAGAAUUCCAGGGGUAGCGGUGAAAUUCGUAGAGAUCUGGAGGAAUACCGGUGGCGAAGGCGGCCCCCUGGACAAAGACUGACGCUCAGGUGCGAGAGCGGGGGGAGCAAACAGGAUUAGAUACCCUGGUAGUCCACGCCGUAAACGAUGUCUACUUGGAGGGUGUGCCCUUGAGGCGUGGCUUCCGGAGCUAACGCGUUAAGUAGACCGCCU